AUUGUGGCAAGGUCAAGG
This 18-nucleotide small nuclear RNA is filed under the name Arabidopsis thaliana (thale cress). RNAcentral describes it as "snRNA_13834". The record is from RNAcentral. Lineage: Eukaryota; Viridiplantae; Streptophyta; Magnoliopsida; Brassicales; Brassicaceae.